This 65-nucleotide ribosomal RNA is filed under the name Aureobasidium pullulans. Its description in RNAcentral is "partial 26S ribosomal RNA". The stretch from base 9 to 65 matches the Rfam family "Eukaryotic large subunit ribosomal RNA", at positions 1 to 57 of the family's 3401-position model. The record is from RNAcentral. Lineage: Eukaryota; Fungi; Ascomycota; Dothideomycetes; Dothideales; Saccotheciaceae.
UUCUAGGUUGACCUCGGAUCAGGUAGGGAUACCCGCUGAACUUAAGCAUAUCAAUAAGCGGAGGA